RNAcentral lists this ribosomal RNA (769 nucleotides) under uncultured bacterium. Its description in RNAcentral is "bacterial SSU rRNA". It matches the Rfam family "Bacterial small subunit ribosomal RNA", at positions 83 to 830 of the family's 1533-position model. The record is from RNAcentral.
GGAGAGAGUAGAGUGGCGCACGGGUGAGUAACACGUAGGUAAUUUGCCUUCGGGUGGGGAAUAACAGCCGGAAACGGCUGCUAAUACCGCAUAAUGCAGCGGCUCGACAUCGAGACAGUUGUUAAAGCGGGGGAUUCGCAAGAACCUCGCGCCUGAAGAGAAGCCUGCGGCAGAUUAGCUAGUUGGUAGGGUAAUGGCCUACCAAGGCGACGAUCUGUAACCGGCCUGAGAGGGCGGUCGGUCACACUGACACUGACAUACGGGUCAGACUCCUACGGGAGGCAGCAGUCGGGAAUUUUGGGCAAUGGGCGAAAGCCUGACCCAGCAACGCCGCGUGAAGGAUGAAAUCCCUCGGGAUGUAAACUUCGCAAGACUGGGAAGAAUAAGUAGAAGAUAAUACCUUCUAUGAUGACGGUACCAUUUGUAAGCUCCGGCUAACUCCGUGCCAGCAGCCGCGGUAAUACGGGGGGAGCAAGCGUUGUUCGGAUUUACUGGGCGUAAAGGGCGCGUAGGCGGUCACUACAAGUCAGUUGUGAAAUCUCUGGGCUUAACUCAGAGCGGUCAACUGAUACUGUCGGACUAGAGUGCAGAAGGGGCAACUGGAAUUCUCGGUGUAGCGGUGAAAUGCGUAGAUAUCGAGAGGACACCUGCGGCGAAGGCGGGUUGCUGGGCUGACACUGACGCUGAGGCGCGAAAGCUAGGGGAGCGAACGGGAUUAGAUACCCCCGGUAGUCCUAGCCUUAAACGAUGAAUGCUUGGUGUCUCGGGU